ACCCCCUCUUCCGCGGCCCCUCCCUCCUCGCCCCCAGCCCGAGCCGCCUCCGGCUCAUCGCUAGGGAAGACAGAAGACCGGCGGGUCGGCUGCUUCCCCAAAGGUUCCAGAUCCUAUGUCAUAACCCCCCCCCCCCCCCCCCCCCCCCGCUCCGGCGGCCCCGCGACGCUGGGGACGCACCUCUAAUCAAAAUGUUUUUAAACAUUUGUGUAGUGAGACGUUAGUGGGAACGAACAAAGGACGUAAUUUGCUCUUCCCAUUCAAGUUCAUGAAUCCCCUGAAAGCUAUCGAAGGGGCCUGUGGACCCCAGGUUUAAAAUGCCUGCCCUAGUCAGUUCCCUAGCCCUGAUCCUUGUUCUGGGGAGUGCCUGCGAACAUCCAGCGUCCCUCGUCUGUGUGUAGCUUCCCCAUUUAAAAAAACAGGACCGUUAGGAUUUGAGGACUGGGGAACGCUUCCAGGUGAAAUCAGCCAAACCUUGUCCUGCAGGCAAGGAUUAUACCGAUAUUCUCCUAAACUUAAAUCUUCUUCCUUAGGAGAAUAGAGGAAGCUCAAUUGUGAUCCUGCGCUCAGGUCUCACGUGAACAUUCCCACAUACAUAUACCUGGUCUUAUGUCAUGGCUGGUCGUUACUAGAAUGAAUAGUACACCCCAGUCCCGACUAUCUGACUGCAGAUUAUCCACAGAUUUAAAGUUCGGACUAGUAAGCAGCACCUCACGUCAGAAAUCGCUCCCACACAGCACCGCAUCUACUUCGGGUUAGGUGAUGUCGUGUGUGUCCCCCUGCCUUUAAUCAUUACUUCCAGAAUACAGGUCUCAUCCAUUCAGAUAAAUAAAUCCCUCUACCCCGAUAGAAAGAAACUGAGUGUCCACUAGUAAACCCUUCCCCCAAGCUCUGACAAUGGUAGUCCCUGGUCUCAGAAGUUCCUGAUGAUUCUCUGGGUUCGAGCAAUCCCCACGCCUCCACUCUUGUAAACAGCUAGCUUCCUUCUGGUUCCAGAUACCCCACUGGUUUCCCGACAGGCUGAAGUCCCAGUCAGUCGGGAAGGGGUGGGAGCAGAGCAGGAAGCUGAACCUCCUCCAAAGUCACGUAAAAGUACAGCCUAGGGGGGUAGGACUUAAACUCCCUUAGUUAGGUACGGACCUUUUGUUCCCUCGCUCAGCCACAGUCCUUGCCAGACUUCAGAAGAUAGUCCGAGGGCAGGGGAGGAAACAAGUUUUGGAAUUUGGAAACAAGAAGGGAAGUCCUGCCCCUUUAAGGUUUCUGAUUUGGUAGAGGGGAUGGAUUGUUGACAAAAUGCAGGUGCUGCUUGGGAUCCAGUUCAAAGACAGACCCAUGUCCCUCUUGACUAAAGAAAGACCAGUUUGAUCAGACAUCUAGUUUUCCUGACUUCCAACUUCUGAUCUCUUCUAUGGUCAGUUCCUUCUUACAAUUCUCAGCUUCUUCACAUCACAAUUGCUUUCAAUCAUUCCCAUCUUACAAGAUUUUCCAUUUAGAAUUCCAUACAGCACCAUUACCACUACCAUCCCAUUUCCCCUUCCCAUCCUAUCAUAACCCCCCACAUAAGUCAUUCCCUCUGAGUUUGGGUAGCCCUUCCAUCAUGGACCCCUUCCUCCUUCAAUCCCCAGACCACCUCAUACAUUUUUUCUCAAACACUUAUGAUCGGAUCAGAGAAUGUGAGAGCAGAAACCUUAGAGAUCAUUAGUUCUACCUUCUUCCUCUAACCUCCAAACAGCCUCCUGGUUCCUCCCAGCAUCACCUUUAGACUGAGCUCUGCGUCCGCAGCCAAGAUGCUACAGGUCUCAUCUACCCCCUGUUGCCAUGCAGAUCAGAAGAUGCCUCUGAAGCAGCCUCUGAACUCGUCUUCAUUCCAUACACCCUGCUUUGGGCUGCUGUGACACUUUUUUCACUUCCCAGCCCCAGCCAAGACUGUUCCCUCACCCUUACUCCUCCCCUUCCCUCCCCUUCUGAAUCUCAGGACAACAUCAAAGGCCAAGGCAAAAUCCAGCCUAAACAGCAAGAGACAAUUCAACAACCUAAGCAAUUCAGACUCAAAUCUGACUCGCAUUCCCCUCUCCUCAAUGCUCCAUAACCUCCAUACCGCAGGAGAAGAGCUAUUCCAAAAGAACCAUAUUUCGGCAGAAGCUUCACCUCGCCCUGCCUUGGCUCAAUAUCCAGCACCUCACCCAAACCACAAAGCCGGAGCUUCUAUCGCCAGAGCAGAAGCCGCCUCGAUCAGAACCCUGCUGUGACUGCAACUUUCUGUACCAGACUUUCCCUUUCUCCCUGAAGAGGGGCUUCCUGCUGAGGAUGGGGGAACCAGCCUCAUGGACUUACCCAGAAUCAGUCUCUUCCUAUCAAAAAGCCUCAGAGAAGAGUGUACAGGAGCAAAUCAAGCUUCAGGACCUCUUCCACUGCACCAUCAUCUAGCUGUCUCUUCUCCAAAGUGUCCUAAUUUCAAGGCAGCACUGGUCAUGGUCUCUGAGAUUCCUCAUGUAGUUCUUCUCACUCCCCACAUUUGAACCUGGAAACAGUAACCACUUUCAAAGAUACAGCUUCCAGCUAGCUUGCACCAUCUUCAAGGAAGUGAAAAAACUGGAACUUCACAAUCAGUGGAAGAAAAGAAAGCAAUCAUGGGUGCUUAAAUAUAUAGAUCACAAGGACUUCUGACCUGCAAAUGAAAAAUCACUCAGACUCCUGAGGGGAAGGGAACUACCUACUAAGUUCUUCCACACCAGCAUCAAUGGAAAUAUUUAGAUAAGGAACAGAAACAAAUAAGUCCAGGGUCACAAAGCAGUGAGUCAAGUCAUAUUUGAACCUCAGAUCUUCUGGAGUCCACUCAAUCCAUUUCCUUGCCUGAUGUUGUUGAACAGAAUAGAAUCUUGAAGGCAUAAUUAGUUAGCAGCUAACCUCAAAUGGGCUGGUAAAGUGAGAACAGAGAUCCAAGAGAUCUUGGGCAUUUUAUUUAAACUAUUUGAGUGGGUUUUUUAAAUUAUAAAUAUGGAGAGGGGGGAUAGACUUUGGCCUUUCAGAAGGCAAUUAUGAGAAUAUAUAAGAGGUAAAGAAUGCAUUAUAGUUAGGGGGAAUUCUUUUUAUUAGGCUAGAUACUAACCUAAAAUUAGAGUUUAAUAAAGAUGAUGAGAUAAGCUAAAGUAGAGGUGGGAGAAAAAGUUUGAGGGGAGGGGGGAGGAGAGAGUAGGCACUAAGGGUGAGAAAGCAUUACUAGAAAUCUAGUAUGGGAUGCAAUUGUUCAUCUGGUCUCUUUCAUGAUCAGACAACCCAGUCUAGGCAUGGGAAACUGCUAUAUUAAGAUUAACCAAAGUAAUUGUGGCUGCUUAGUUGGAAAAGAAAAUUGGGUUGGGGUGGGGGAAGGAUUGGCAAAUUUCAAUUCACCACAAGGAAGGACUUCCUAAUCAUUAGAAGUGUCAGUCUUUACAGUAAGUUGGCUGUAGAGGUAUCUCUUGGCUUCUGACAGAAGUUAGAUGACCAGUUGUCAAGUAUGUUAUAAAAAGGAUUCCUCCUGUUCAAAUAUGGGUUGAACUCUGAACCUCCUUUCAUUUCAGCACUGAGAUUCUAUGAGAUUUCUAGCCCUACUUCCCAAGGUCAGGUAAGUUCUUAAUUCUUGCCCACAUGUAGCCCCCUUAGGGCCUCAGGAACUUCCCUAAAACUAGUUUAAAAAGGAAAGAUUUGUGGGAGUUUUUGAGAAAUCAGGGCAAGUAGGCAUGGAAAAGGAGGCUAAUUAAACUUCAGGAACUUGUAGAUCUGACUAGUGUUCCUUUUAUAAAACGGGAGUUGGGGGAGCUUAUUGAGUGGAAAUGUAAGCUCUAUAGAAAUAUAACAAUUUGGGAGUUCAGCAAAAUUGGAAUUUGUUGUUGUUGUUAAGGCUUACAAGUUUCAUGCUGCUUGCCCUGGCUGCCAUAUACAACACUAGAGAAGGACUAGGGCAGAAGACAAGGCAGGUCAGGGUCCAGCCACAACCUGACCAAAGAUAUGGGAUCCAGCCAUAGCCUGAGAGUUCAGAGGCAAGAAAAUUGAAAAAGAACUGGGAGAUAGAAGAGACUAGUUCCAAUCUUUCUUCUUUUAUUAAUAGAUGCCUGACCUCGGGCCCUAUCAAUAAGACAGGAAAAAUACUUCCCCUGUCUGGAGAGAAAAGAAGACACCAAUCUUUGGAUCCUAAUAAUCUAAAUGCAUGGAGACUAAUCCUCCAUAGGCAACAUGAAACCAAAAGAAGGAAACCCUCCUGAAGUGCAAGGGUGACAUCAGAGAAGAGGGAAAGUGGGCACAACUUCUACUGAUUGUUUCAUUUGAUCAAGCAUUAAUUCAUACUAAAUAUACAAUGAAUGUUCUGAGGUGAUGCUCUCAUUGACCCAAGAACCAUGAGGGACAGGUACCUCCUAGCCAAACGUGCCCUACAAGGUAAGAAACUGGGGGGAACCAUAGGGCGUAUGUUCAACUGCAACAGCAUAAGCAUUGUCUACUCUAUAUACUGGUUCUGGAAAUCCUUGAGUUUAUGAAAACGAUUCAAGCAAUGACAGUCACCCCACUAUGGUGAUGCGAGACCUCUGAUACAGUACUCUGGUGCUUUUGAGAACUCUUCCUUUUAGGAAUACAGAAUGAGUGGGGCUUCAGAGCAGCUUCGAGUGGAUUUACUUCUUCAGAUCACUUGCAGAGAUCCCUCUCUGUUAAAAUUCUAGUUUGCUAUGACAGGUCAGGUAGUGAGAGCUGGUUCAAAUCUUAAUAGCACUAAACAUCACUAAAAAAAGAGAAUUUAUAUUUUUAGAUUGGAAAAUUCAAAUAACUGAAAUUUUUUUAUAUUUAGCAUAUAUUACCAAACCUUAUGUCAACUAUUAAAACUGCAAAAUUAUCAUUCUAGCCAUUUUCUUUUAGCUGCUCAUCUGUCCCUUACUACAGAAUUAAUAGAACACUUUUUUUUAAAACUAUGAUUACCCCCUGAUAUAUAACUGCAUUCAUUUGGAAUUUGUCAAACCAUUCAAUUGUUAGAAAAAGCUCUGAGAUGGGAUGUAUAAAUUUAUUCAAUUUCAAGAAAAUGCAGAUCAAUACCACUACACACUUCUCAGACAAGCUAAGAUGACAGGAAAACAUAAUGAUGAAUAUUGAAGUUGUGGGAAAACAGACACAGUAUGUUGUUGGUGGAGUUGUGAACUGAUCCAACCAUUCUGGAACAAUAUGGAACAAAGCCCAAAGGUUUCUAAAACUGUGCAUCCCUUUUGAUCCAGCAGUGUGUCUACUGGGUCUGUAUUCCAAAGAGAUCACAAAAAAGGGAAAAA
Molecule: long non-coding RNA, 5285 nt
Organism: Sarcophilus harrisii (Tasmanian devil)
Lineage: Eukaryota; Metazoa; Chordata; Mammalia; Dasyuromorphia; Dasyuridae
Exons: 5
Source: RefSeq, a predicted model, not a curated record